Anopheles gambiae (African malaria mosquito) is the source of this 6834-nucleotide long non-coding RNA. RefSeq lists it as uncharacterized. NCBI's taxonomy places the organism in Eukaryota, Metazoa, Arthropoda, Insecta, Diptera, Culicidae. The transcript is spliced from 2 exons. The record is from RefSeq and is a predicted model, not a curated record.
UGUGUGUGUGUGUGUGUGUGUGUGUGUGUGUGUGUGUGUGUGUUUGAGUGCGUUUGACCAGGCCAGACACAAACCGCUGUGCAAAAAAGGGGGACAAAACGACGGACCGACCGACCGACCGAACGAUGGACAACAAGCGGGGGCCCCUCAAACAAACUAUUCAAAAAAACAGGGAACGGACACACCAACCAACACACACACACACAGACGAGCAUGCAGGUUCGCGGGUGCGACUCGCCGUCGCUUGCUGCGGUGCAGUUUGCGUUUCCCGGGGUAAAAGUCGCAACCGCACCAUCGCACGGGCAAUACACACAGCAGGCGCUGCGCUCGUCGUCUUUUGCGGGCGCUCGUCGUCAUCGUCGUCGUCGUCGUGGUCGUGUGUCAUCGCCAAAAGCCGUAGUUCGUUCGCCGUAGUCGCGCGUCCCGUGGUCGUCGUCGCGGUCGUCGUCGUGCGUGCGUGCGUGUGCGGGUCACAGCGAGAGAAGAAAACGUCAUCGUCGGCGCGAAUCUGAGCCCAGCGCGUUAGCGGCGCGCGCGUUCACGACCGUUCCUUUUUUUUUUUGUUAGUUCUAUCGUGGUUCACUGUGUUUUUCUUUUUGUACCCUUUAACCUUCCCAUCCCUCUUGCUCGCACUACCGUUGGACCACAUCACAUCUUCACACCGAGCCGAGGGGGUUUUUGCAUUUGUUUUCGUUGCGUUGCAUUCUGCACAUUGCCAUUUUUGGUGGAUGGUGUAGGAAGAACACACCCGCGGGAGGACACAUCCCCCCCCCCCUUUUCGUGACACGACUCAAAGGGAAUCGCGCGCCCGUCCCUUUCCGACAAUUCCAUCCAUUGACAUUCCUUCUCCGGUGUUGUGCGUGCGUGUCUGUGUGUUCUCAUUAGUGCUCCGGGAGGGAAUUCUUGCUCUGGUUUGCUCUAAAAAAACCCGUGUAACUCUUGGUGCGUUAGAGUUGUGUUUUUUUUUGCGGUUUGUGUGUGUGAUGUGUAUAGCCUUACCUCGAAAGAAGACACGAAGGAUCUUCUUUUUUUGCCGCGCCCGGGGGACCUUUGACAAUCCCAUUCGCGAGCUAUUUUUCACUUCAAUUCUCUCCCCCUUUCGCGCGUACGGAUUCCAUCCCCCCGGAGGAUCGUUCUGGUACUGUCAAACUGUCAUCAAAGCCCCAGUAAGAGCUGUCAAAGCGCGCCAGGGGGAAGAAGCAGGGCCUACUACUACUGCGUGUGAUCGCUUUUCGAGGUGACGAGUGACAGAUUACACUCAAUCACAUCCACUGCAAGAAUCUGCUGCCUUGGCUGCUUGGGCACAGCAAAUGAGCCUUUUACCCCUUUCUGGAUGGUUGCUGCUGGUUGCUAAAUUUAGUGGAAUUUAAGCAAGCAAACACUUCUGGUUCCCCUGUUUUUCUUUGAUUGUGUGUAGUGUGUGUGUCUCUCUCUCUCUCGGUACGUUAGAUUCCAGCCAUGGUUUUCGGCCAAUUUUAGCCGUUGUGCCGUUUUUGUUUCUACUUGCCCCGAAAAUAGCUCUUGGACGGUUUGGUUCUUUUUUCUUAAAUUAAAGCGUUUUGUUAAAUAGUUCCAACACACAUGGCAAAUUACAAUCUUCCCCUCCCUCUGUCUCUAUGGAUGUCCUCCUUCUCCUCCCACCACCCCCCCAUUUUCCAAUGUCCAAUGUUCGGUGUCCUGUUCGGAAGGAAUUACCGGGAAUUUCUGGAACGCGCCAGUAUCGUCCCUUGCCGUCGGGCCGUCGUCAUGUUUUUUUUAUGUUCUCUUCCUGCUCCAAGUGCUGCUGUCUGUGUGUGUAUGUGUGUGUGAGUGUGUUUGUGUGCAAAUCGCAAGUGAGACAUACAAGGGAAUGUAUUUUAUUUUCAUUUUUUGUUUUUUGUUUUUUUUUCGGCUUCCUUGGUGUUCGGUGUUUGGAGUAGCAUAAGGAGCAUUAAAAAUAUCGAAUUUCGCCGAGUAUUUUUUUCCCCAUUCCUUCUAAAACGGUUAGUUUCCUUAGUGACAGUUGCUGCUCCACAAAACAGGCCGUGCCAAAAAUGCGACCAAGCGACACAAAUAUCGGCAAGCGUUUUUUUUUUGUUUGGUUCGUUUUGAGUGGGUUUUGCUGAAGUUUGUUUAAGUUUGCUCCAUUAUUUUAUAAAAAAUAUUUAAAAACAUAAGCUUUGCAAACAUUCACCAAUUAUGUGCAUUUAAAAAAAACUAAUCGUUUGAUGUGUGUGUGUGCGUGUGUGUGUGUGAAAAACUGUUCAUCAAAAUGGCAAAGAAAGAUGGUGCCAAACUCCCACCGUGUUUUGGCUUUGGCAAAUUAAGCUCGACGCGUAUGCCGUCGGAAGGAGUAGAGACAAAGGUAAAUACCAAAACUCUCAACAACAGAAUAAGUAGAGGUAAAGUAAAUUAAAAACCAGAUGCAACCAAAUUGAUACAAUCGACUAACUUCUUGCGCACUUCUUUUGAACCCGCAAAUGAAUGGAUUGAAAUCAUUUUCCUUUACUGUACUGCAUGGUGGGAAGCAUCCAGCUCAAGACAACAACUGCUCAAUGCCACCACAAAACGACUUUGUUCUACCUUCUGCCAGCAGCAGUAGUAGUAGUAGUAGCAGCAGCAGUGCGCAAGUGUACAUUCCGGAAGGGGUAGAAAAAGGGCGCGCGGUGCACUUGCAACUUCCUCGCAAGACACAACCGCCACCGAGGUAGAAGUCGAAAACGAAUCGUUAAUCUCGUCCUCCACCCAACACCAACACCACACUCCGCACAGGGGGGGGGGCACGCGGAAUACCUCACCUUCUUCUACCAGCCGAAAAACCAACGCUCGCUGCUGGCGGACGGUUACGAAUUCCUGACCUAUGGUAAUUUUUCCCGUCAGCUUCAUUGAGCGCUGGAAAAGCGGUGAAGGUGGAGGGGGGGGGGUGGUUUUCUUGCCCACUCUAGCCCACACAAAACCAUGCUCUCAUGUAUGUGUGUAGGUGGGUGGGUGGUUGCAUCCCGUCAUAUCGUUGCGUCUGCUGCGAAAAAAACCCGGUGGUUUGAGAACGGUUUACCACCGUCCCCGGGAAAAACGAAUCGUGCGCUUCGGUGUCUCACUCUCCUUACUGUCGUGUCGGACGUUCCGUAUAUUUAUGUGACGCUCCGGGAGGGGUGGCGAAGAUAAGGGAGAAGUAGCCUGGGGGGGGGUUGUUUUGUGUAGGAAGAAGACUAGCUUACUAGUCACAUGUGCAGUUGUAGAAACAGACACACACACACACGCGAAAUGCAACGUUUCGGUGGAGCAUUAACAGCGGGACAGAGUGGACGAGUUAUUUCCGCCCUUGGUCAGAGUGUAUUAUUUACGGCUUCUCUCUCUCUCUCUCUCUCUCUCUCUCUCUCUCUCUCUCUCUCUCUCUCUCUCUCUUUCUCUCUGCGACUAUCUCAAGUGUUUGUGUGUGCUGGAUGCGUUGCGUGUGGGAAAAUUGGUUUACGGUAUUGCAGUGCGCAUACGGGAAAUGGAUUCAGCCUUGCGGUCGUAAAUAAACUCUCGAAAAAAGGAGGUUAAUGUAGUUAAAAUUAUUUCACUGAUUUACUGUACAAGCUCAUCAACAUUUUGACGUUGCUUAGUUGCUGAAUGGUAAAUAUGCAUGCGAUUGACAUGCAGUAAUAAAGGUCGAAGCAAUGUGGUUCUUAUAAACAACAGUCCUCAAAACGGAUUCCGCACGACCCGUUCUGUUCGCGUUUUAUGCACUUGGUUUGCGUUCCUUCAUUCCUGUAUCAUCUGGAAAUGGGAUGAUGCUGCCGUUGCUCGCGCCAGUCUCGUAUGGCUGUAGACAUCGGGCGAGGUGGUGGUUUUAUCGUGCAUUCCUCCGAAGGAAUAAUGACAAAAACCAGUUCCACGCCAGGGCGAACCGAGCAACUCUGGCUGACCCAAACCCGAAACCCGGCAGACGGCAAUGAUGAUGAUGAUGAUGAUGCUGACGGUGCGGCCACACUAUGUGCGUAUUGCCGUGUAGUACCGUACGUGUGCACACACACAUACACACACACAUUCUCUCCGUUCCCCAGACGGGCUGAUUCUUUUGUGCCGGAGGUCUUUGCAUUUUGCCUUUGUCCACCACUUUGAUGAUAUGCAUGCGGUGCUGCUGCUGCUGCUGCUGCAUCCAACCGUUUGCAUUCCAACGUGGGCCGAUGCUCGCUUCCGCCGAAAAGGCAGUGCACGGCAGUGCAGGAGCAGCACACACACACGUUUGCUUCCCCGCCCGACAGGAGAACCAGGUCCACCAGACACACCCUGGACGCACCGAAACCGGACCGAUCCGGUGCGCAGAUUUAUGCAAAACCGGAUCAGACACAAUUGGUAACUGACAGAGCAAAAAAAAAAAGCGGAGAAGAAGAAGAGAAAACUGGGCGGAAAAUCUAAUCCUCUCUCUCGCAAAAAAAACGAAACACGGAUGCAAACUCGCGCAUACACACGUGCAAUUGAAUCAAAUCUCUAACCUUUGAAUAGAGAGUAGUAGAAGGAUAAAACGCGGAGGUUUGAGGGUUUUUUUUCCUUUCCCCAAAUCAAACAGCAGCAGCAGUAGAGAAAUGGCUGUGAGGCAAGCGGAGAGAGCAUAGAGCACAAGGGUUGAAAUGCAAAAAUCUAAACACACGCAUGUAGUUAGUGCAAUUGUUUCCGGUAAGGUUGCUCUUUUUCCGCAUGUGCUGCGUAUUGAGACGCAUUUUUUUGUGUGCGUGCGUGGAAGAUACACCAACCGUUUGAAAUUAAAUGCAAUAGUUUACUUUUGCCGAAGUAUAGACCAACGAAAACAAAGCGAAAAAUUGAUUAAACGCUCCCGGAGGAAACGUUGUGGUAUGUUCUUAUUUUCAAUGUAUUUUUUUUAAAUAAAAUUGAAUCCACGGCGUGUUUGUUUAACAAUACAGGCUUGUGUAUGCAAUUGCCUUCAAGGUUGGCGGUUGGUUUCAUUUCCUGAUAUCAAUUUUGAUUGCCAAAAAGGAGAUCCUACCAAACGGUUGUUAAUAUCCGGUUCAGUAAAUUGUACGAAAAAAGAUCAUGUUAAACUUCAAAAUUUGUUCUUUUUUGUAAAAUAAUUAAAAUGAUGUUUGCUGAUGGUUUUAAUUUUUUGGCAAGAUUGCAUUGUGAAGACUUGCAUUGUGAUUGAAACUUUGAUUGUUGUCUUUUAAAACCCCUUUUUUAAAAGAGGUCCUAAUACUCUUUUAAAGGCAGUUAACAGGGUUUCCUACGGUAUUUAGACAAUAUUAUGAUCUUCUCUGUAAAUACAAUCUCAAUGAAUCAUGGGAGCGAUCAAACAACUUUGGACAACAGUCAAUACAUCUUGAUAUAGAACCACAAACAUGUGGAGAGAAACUGAUAUAGUUUGCGAUGAACCAAACUAAUCUCAAGCUUGUGACUUCUUCAUCGUCGUUCCAAUAAGUUAACAACACGCCAAGAGUCCCACCUUCCCAGCAUGUGUGUCCCAUCCGUACUCCUGCCCACAGGGGCAAAUGCAUUCGACUCCAUGUUUAUCAACCAACAAAAUGCUUGCCUUUUCGAAAAAUCAACAACCAUCAUUCGUUGCAACCAUGCGUGCGUGUACGUAGGCCCUACACUCUCCCCCCCCCCCCCCCCCUGUACACGGUGUGCUGUGCGUGUCGGUCCAUUGAGAAUUUUCAAUCAACCCUGCCUGCUACACCGCCGCACACAAUCUGCAGCACAUAGCACACACCGUUUGUAUCAAUUUUACGGUAGCUUUGAUGGUCUGGCAAAACACUAAACGAUCGCUUGUGUGUUUCCUCCCUUUUUUUGUGUGUGUGUUGUGCUCCCUCAACCCCAACCCUCCAAUACGCACAAAGCGGCCGGCCUCAUGGUGCUGCUGCGGCGGCAUACACGGCCUAUAAGUCACACAUUCCUUCCCUUCCCGCCCCAUCUUCCAUCCAUCCGGUGCGAAGCUCUCCGUUUCAAAAAGGUGGUAGUAGUAGGCAGUGGGAAAUGCAUUCUUCUGCAAGUGCACAGUCAAAAUAAACAACAGAGUUGGGGAGCGAAGGUAGCGCGCGGUAGCAGAACUUCCGAGUCAACAGUUCAUGCAUCCAUCCGUUCAAGCCUCCCGAUCAGACGCAUCAGUGAAAUUGCACACACACACACACACACACAGUGUGCAGUGUCAGUUUCUUCUCAGCACAGUAGGAAACGAAUGGCCAGAAAUUAUGCGUUUGUUCGAUUAUUUUGCCUACCCACUGGGGGGUUUACUUCCAAGGAACAACCCACACUGUGCAAAGGGUGCAAACCCUUUGUGAAAACGGAACGAUGCGUGUCAUCUUCGUGCCUGGUAGUGUGGUGUGUACACGUACCUCACUGCAGUAUUAUCCCUUGCCACGCAGCGGCAGGACAAAGGGCAAAGCAGCAGUGCGUUAUCGCAUGUCAACAUUUAAUGAGAUGUACAUUGCGUACAUUUUGCACAUCAAUAAACAGUGUGGCUCCCUCUCUGGUUGUGAUUUUCCACUCGCUUGUUUCCUGUCCUUUUCCUGUGUAGGCCUGUCAGAAUUGCUACGACAGGACAUUCAGGACAGAAAGUGUAUGUGUGUGUAUGUCUGUGGCAUAGAUUAUUAUUCUCGACCUAUUUCCUGCUAUCCCCUGUUUUCUUGGUUGGUGUGCCCGCGAAGAGCUUCAACCUGGGGCUAAUUGGAUUUAAGGGAAUAUAAUGGAGAGAACGUUUUACUUCUUACCGCACACCGUUCGUUCGGUAAAAGGGAUUGACCUUUUUUGAUCGUUCCGUUGCGGCUAGCAGUGUGUGGGAGAAGGAAAAGGGCAGAUGAAGCAGUAGUCAAUAAAAUGUCAAAUGUCGCAAGGAAAACAGUUGAAAUGGUGGAAAAA